RNAcentral lists this signal recognition particle RNA (299 nucleotides) under Saimiri boliviensis boliviensis (Bolivian squirrel monkey). RNAcentral describes it as "Metazoan signal recognition particle RNA (ENSSBOG00000009077.1)". It matches the Rfam family "Metazoan signal recognition particle RNA". From Rfam's summary of the family: The signal recognition particle (SRP) is a universally conserved ribonucleoprotein. It is involved in the co-translational targeting of proteins to membranes. The eukaryotic SRP consists of a 300-nucleotide 7S RNA and six proteins: SRPs 72, 68, 54, 19, 14, and 9. The record is from RNAcentral. Lineage: Eukaryota; Metazoa; Chordata; Mammalia; Primates; Cebidae.
GCCGGGCGCGGUGGCACGUGCCUGUAGUCCCAGCUACUCAGGAGGCUGAGGCUGGAGGAUCUCUUGAGUCCAGGAGUUCUGGGCUGUAGUGCGCUACGCCAGUCAGGUGUCUGCACUAAGUUCAGCAUUAAUAUGGUGACCUCCCGGGAGCCGGGGACCAUCAGGUUGCCUAAGGAGGGGUGAACCAGCCCAGGUCGGAAACGGAGCAGGUCAAAACUCCCAUGCUGAUCAAUAGUGGGAUCGCACCUGUGAAUAGUCACUGCACUCCAGCCUGGGCAACAUAGCAAGACCCUGUCUCU